UACGAAGGGGGCUAGCGUUGUUCGGAUUUACUGGGCGUAAAGCGCACGUAGGCGGAUCGAUCAGUCAGGGGUGAAAUCCCAGGGCUCAACCCUGGAACUGCCUUUGAUACUGUCGGUCUAGAGUGAGGAAGAGGAAAGUGGAAUUCCGCGUGUAGUGGUGAAAUGCGUAGAUAUCAGGAGGAACACCAAUGGCGAAGGCAGCUCGCUGGGACGGUACUGACGCUGAGACGCGAAAGCGUGGGGAGCAAACAGG
RNAcentral lists this ribosomal RNA (253 nucleotides) under uncultured bacterium. RNAcentral describes it as "partial 16S ribosomal RNA". It matches the Rfam family "Bacterial small subunit ribosomal RNA", at positions 524 to 776 of the family's 1533-position model. The record is from RNAcentral.